This 2048-nucleotide long non-coding RNA is filed under the name Homo sapiens (human). RNAcentral describes it as "uncharacterized LOC105376944, transcript variant 11 (LOC105376944)". Lineage: Eukaryota; Metazoa; Chordata; Mammalia; Primates; Hominidae. The record is from RNAcentral.
GGGACUACAGGCGCCCGCCAUCACGCCCGGCUGCUUUUUUUGUUUUAGUAGAGAGGAGGUUUCACCGUGUUAGCCAGGAUGGUCUCAAUCUCCUGACCUCGUGAUCCGCCCGCCUCGGCCUCUCAAAGUGCUGGGAUUACACGCGUGAGCCACCGCGCCUGGCCUGAAGAAAUAGGAAGAAGAAAAGCUUUUUGAAUGAAUCACUUCUCAUCUUCUCCGAAGUUGGAAGCAUCAAGAAUCUAAAUAAGCAUUUAUGAUGGCUGGCAUGAAUAUGCGGAAGAUAGAAUGGGAGUCCUAGUUGACCUUCAUAUAAUUUUUAGAAGAUGGAGCACUUCAACUUCUUCCACUCAUGAAAAGAGAGGUGACAGGUGAAGACAGAACAAGAAAACAAACCAAGAAUUUCCCCUCACCAGCCACCAGCUCUGCCAGCAACUUGAUCUUAGACUUCCCAGCCUCCGUAACGUCUUCCUCCUAAAAACCUGUAACCUCAAUCUAAUCAUGAGAAAAGACAUCAGGCAAAUCCCAACUGAGGGAGAUUUUACAUAGUACCUGAGCAGUACUCCUCAAAACUGUCAAGGUCAUCAAAAACAAAGAAGUAUGAAAAACUGUCACAGCCAAGAGGAACUUAAGGAAACAUAAUAAUUAAAGCCUCUGCUUAUAAUCUGUCAUGGAUUGGAAAACUAGAAAAAACAGUUUACAGAGUAUAACAAACUUUGGAGGAGUUAAUCGACUCUAAGUAAAAGAGUAUCUAGCACGGCUGUGGAACAAAGGAGAGACUCACAAACUGUUGAAAGAAUAAAUGAAUGAAUGAAUUCUGUUCAUGAGCUUUAAUAAAACAGCUCUGAGUAGUAACAGUGGAUCAAAUUUAGGCUUCUUGAUGCAGGCAUGGUGUAGAUUACUACUUCUGUAUUGUCCCAGGAGCUCAGCACAUUCCUGCAGAGAUGAUAGGAGCUCAUCUGAUACUUGUCAGCUUUGAAUAAACUCCAGUCCCCAAGAGAGAGAAUGAGAAUCACCGGAAUACGAAACUUCCCUGUUGGACUUCCCAACAUUCUUGAAUGCACCAAGAUAGCCUCUUGCUGUGAGAUUAAUAAAUGAAUAAAUGCCUCCAUAUUUUUCAAAUCUGUGAAGUUAACAACAUGUAGAUUUUUUUGCAUAUUUAAAAACUGCAACUAAAUCUUAAUGCCUCUGAAGCAGAUGGAAGAAAAUAAUAGGCUUCCAUUAACUGUGUCAAAUUGUAUAGGUCUUGGCCAUCACUGGUCCUGUUGUGAUGAAGGUUUUUUGCCCUUGGAUAUAAUUUAAUUUUCAAUUCUUCUAAUUAUGGUACUUCAGAACAUCAAUAUUUGAGAUGAACUUCUCUAGUGUCAAGGACUGAUUUGAGUUGUGUAAACCCUGAAUAUCUGAGACAGGUCUCGAUUAUUUUAGAAAGUUUAUUUUGCCAAGGUUGAGGAUGUGUGCCUGUGACACGGCCUCGGGAGGUCCUGAGGACAUGUGCUCAAGGUGGUCAGAGCACAGCUUUGCUUUAUACAUUUUAGAGAGACAUGAGACAUCAACCGACAUAUGUAAGAUGAACAUUGGUUCCAUCUGGAAAGGCGAGACAACUUCAAACGAGGAGGGGGCUUCCAGGUCAUAGGUAGAUAAGAGACAAAUGGCUGCAUUCUUUUGAGUUUCUGAUUAGCCUUUCCAAAGGAGGCAAUUAGAGUGAGCAAAAUGAACAAAAUCAAUUAUUUUGAUUCUGAACAAAAUGGGAGGCUGGUUUUCCCUAAGCAGUUCCCAGCUUGACUUUUCCCUUUAGCUGAGGGAUUUGGGGGGCCCAAGAUUUAUUUUUCUUUCACCGUUGUAUCAAACUACACAGGCGGCCUUGGAAACCAUCACAGUUGAGAGUAGGUAACGCCCAUUUGUUGCAUAGUUUUGUGCUCCACACUCUUAUCUACAAAAUUAUGAAUUUUUUUACAUAUAUUAAUUUCAGAAAAACUAAAAAUAAAACAAAGUAGUUUCAAACUAGUAUUGUUUUUAUAUCUUAAAAAUAAAGCUUUAUAUACUCUCCUUAC